GUUUGGUAAGAUAUAUGAUCUCCGAGAUGAUUUGAAUACCUUUCUGCAGUCCGCAGAUAGGGAACUUAUAGCUGAAAUCUUCCAUGAAGUUCUUGCUACCUGGAAAGGUUUCUGAAAAUUUGUGUUUAAAUUGAAAGCCGAAAAAUAGCAUGUGUUAAGUCAAUGAUUGUCUAUAAUGUCCAACAAAAUAGGUUAUUAGAAAAAUUGUAUUGUACCAAAUUUGUUGCAGCGGAAUUAUAUUCUUUUGCUGGAUUGCAAUUUGUUGUUGUACAGUACAGACUACAGAAUAUCUAUAUUGAUUUCAAUGAAAAACAAAUCUUAUUUCUUGGAUUAUUUUGGUGCUAUACUGAUGAUUUUGCAGAAAUUAGAGGAAUAUGUUGAUAAGUUGCAUGGUAUAUUGAUAUAUGUAUGAUAUAAGAAGAGUUGAGCUUCAGCAAAGUAGUCCUAUGUCACUUACAAACUCAUGCAUUAAAAGAGCUUUGUAGGAUUAAUAAAGCAAAGCUUGUACGAAAAACAACAACACUGAAGCACUAAAUCAUAAAUCUAUAUUGCCUUACACCCGGAAUGUCUUGAAUGUUUUCAUAACUUGAGAAUAUUUCUGCCCAUUGUCAUAUUUCAAAAUCUAAACAUGAUGAACAAAGAGUGAGCUCAUGUCCACACCAAAAUUUACUCUCCGUCCCUCAAAAAUAGUUUCAUUUGAGUUUGGUAUAUUAAUUAAUUUACAAAAACAUAAAAUUCAAAUUGUGAUAUACAUUUAUUUUGAUUUUUAAAAUAACAAUUUUGUACUUGCAAUACUUUCAAAGAAGUUUUCUGUAUUAAUUAUUACGUUUCACAUCAAUUUUAAAUUCAAGAUUUCACAAAUUUUAUUUUUUUGCCCAAUUUUUCAGGCUUCCAAGCUUUAGCCUGCUCAGGCUAAAGCCCAGUCCAGGCUUAAGCCAGACCUGUUCAGGCUCCAGGCUGGUACAGGCCCUGUGUUAGGUUAAGCAGGUCUGUCCUUGGGGUAAAAAAAGGGAUUGUUUAGGCUGAUUCAGAUCCAGGCCACCUCUACUAUUGAGUAUUGGUUUUACAAAAGUCCGGUUUUCUUGUACUCUUUUGCUUCUUUUACCCAACACCAAAAGGAAAAUUAUAUAUGUUAAUAAUAUAUCCAAUUUUAUGUAUAGAUAAUUAUAUCCAAUUUUAUGUAUUAAUAUAUGUAACACAUAUUUUACAUGAAUCCCAUAUCAGAUAAAUUCAAGAGUAUAGAUGGGUUAAUAAGGAUCCGGUUAUCAUGAAUUAACUUCAUGAUAAGUUGCUCAAUUGACCAAUACAUAACUGACAAGAAAGAGAUCACUUCCACCCCCGGUUAAUAAGUAUAGUGAUAUCAAAGCUUAUGGUUCGUUGGGCCCAAGUAUCAGGUUGAUACUCCAGGCUGGAAAAGUUGUUCAGGGUGAAUGGUUCACAAGAGUCGAGCGGAGCUCUUGAAGGACUCAAAGAAGGUGUGUCUCAACCUAGUAGAUUAAUAUUUUAGGUAAGGGAGUAGUUCGAAAUACUUAUUACACAGAUGUGUAAUGAUACCAGUUGUUGGGGAUAACCGGGGAAACUCGCGUAUUGCAUGCUCGUACACAAGGCACCAACAUACAUAAAUGGGCCCAAGAUCUAUUAGACUCUAAAUCCUAAUUAGAUUCGCACUAAAAACAUGCUUUGGCAAGAACAAAGAAGUAGAGAACAUUUAGUUUGUAACGAAAUGGUUCUCCGAGCUAAGCAGCUUAUGAAUUUCUCUUUCCAGGUUCACUUAUGUACACGUUCUUACAUUUGCAUGGUAUUAUAAUAUGAUAUCUCCUUGUUCUAAAAUUACAUAAAAUUUAUUUUUUUUCAAAUGUUAAUAAGGUGACAGGCUAAUAAUAAUAAUAUAAUUAAUGACAUAUUAUAUUAAUGGCAUUUACCUAGUUGAAAUUCCGCAUCUUCUCUCUCUUGUCUUCUCCAAUAUCUCAACCUUCUUGGGAAUUCUGAGAACAAUUGCAGAAAAGAGAAGAAAAGAAAAGUAGUCGAGCAAGUGAAGAGAUUCUCUGGGGGAGGAGGGUGUCAUUGGGGGAGAAUAUGGAGGGAAUAUUAUUAGUAUCUUUAUG
RNAcentral lists this long non-coding RNA (2105 nucleotides) under Panax ginseng (ginseng). RNAcentral describes it as "long non-coding RNA (PGIN_LNC006294)". Lineage: Eukaryota; Viridiplantae; Streptophyta; Magnoliopsida; Apiales; Araliaceae. The record is from RNAcentral.